RNAcentral lists this ribosomal RNA (425 nucleotides) under uncultured bacterium. RNAcentral describes it as "bacterial SSU rRNA". It matches the Rfam family "Bacterial small subunit ribosomal RNA", at positions 356 to 773 of the family's 1533-position model. The record is from RNAcentral.
GGGGAAUAUUGCACAAUGGGCGCAAGCCUGAUGCAGCCAUGCCGCGUGUAUGAAGAAGGCCUUCGGGUUGUAAAGUACUUUCAGCGGGGAGGAAGGGGAUGAGGUUAAUAACCUCGUUCAUUGACGUUACCCGCAGAAGAAGCACCGGCUAACUCCGUGCCAGCAGCCGCGGUAAUACGGAGGGUGCAAGCGUUAAUCGGAAUUACUGGGCGUAAAGCGCACGCAGGCGGUCUGUUAAGUCAGAUGUGAAAUCCCCGGGCUUAACCUGGGAACUGCAUUUGAAACUGGCAGGCUUGAGUCUUGUAGAGGGGGGUAGAAUUCCAGGUGUAGCGGUGAAAUGCGUAGAGAUCUGGAGGAAUACCGGUGGCGAAGGCGGCCCCCUGGACAAAGACUGACGCUCAGGUGCGAAAGCGUGGGGAGCAAAC